GAUCCUGGCUCAGGAUGAACGCUGGCGGCAUGCCUAAUACAUGCAAGUCGAACGGACCGAAGGGAAAGCUUGCUUUUCCUGAAGUCAGUGGCGAACGGGUGAGUAGCACGUAGGUAACCUGCCCAUGUGCCCGGGACAACGCCUGGAAACGGGUGCUAAAACCGGAUAGGUAGAGAGAUCGCAUGAACUUUCUAUUAAAGGGGCUACGGCCCUCGAACAAUGGAGUGGACCGUCGCGGGUGGCAUUAGUCUAGUUGGG
This 258-nucleotide ribosomal RNA is filed under the name uncultured bacterium. Its description in RNAcentral is "partial 16S ribosomal RNA". It matches the Rfam family "Bacterial small subunit ribosomal RNA", at positions 15 to 253 of the family's 1533-position model. The record is from RNAcentral.